UACGGAGGAGGCAAGCGUUAUCCGGAAUUAUUGGGCGUAAAGCGUCCGCAGGCGGCGAUUCAAGUCUGCGGUUAAAGACUGGGGCUUAACCCUGGAAAGGCCGUGGAAACUGAAACGCUAGAGUGCAGUAGGGGUAGAGGGAAUUCCCGGUGUAGCGGUGAAAUGCGUAGAGCUCGGGAAGAACAUCAGUGGCGAAAGCGCUCUGCUGGACUGCAACUGACGCUCAGGGACGAAAGCUAGGGGAGCAAAUAGG
This 253-nucleotide ribosomal RNA is filed under the name uncultured bacterium. RNAcentral's name for it is "partial 16S ribosomal RNA". It matches the Rfam family "Bacterial small subunit ribosomal RNA", at positions 524 to 776 of the family's 1533-position model. The record is from RNAcentral.